UACGAAGGGGGCUAGCGUUGCUCGGAAUUACUGGGCGUAAAGCGCACGUAGGCGGUCUUUUAAGUCGGUGGUGAAAUCCUGGAGCUCAACUCCAGAACUGCCUUCGAUACUGGAAGACUUGAGUCCGGGAGAGGUGAGUGGAACUGCGAGUGUAGAGGUGAAAUUCGUAGAUAUUCGCAAGAACACCAGUGGCGAAAGCGGCUCACUGGCCCGGUACUGACGCUGAGGUGCGAAAGCGUGGGGAGCAAACAGG
This 253-nucleotide ribosomal RNA is filed under the name uncultured bacterium. Its description in RNAcentral is "partial 16S ribosomal RNA". It matches the Rfam family "Bacterial small subunit ribosomal RNA", at positions 524 to 776 of the family's 1533-position model. The record is from RNAcentral.